This 1473-nucleotide long non-coding RNA is filed under the name Homo sapiens (human). RNAcentral's name for it is "PPP1R13B divergent transcript". Lineage: Eukaryota; Metazoa; Chordata; Mammalia; Primates; Hominidae. The record is from RNAcentral.
GGAUUACAGGUGUGCACCACCACGCCUGACUAAUUUUUGUAUUGUUAGUAGAGACGGGGUUUCACCAUGUUGGCCAGGUUGGUGUUGAACUCCUGACUUCAAAUGAUCCACCUGCCUUGGCCUCCCAAAGUGCUGGGAUUACAGGCCUGAGCCACUGCGCCCGGACUUUUUUUUUUUUUUGAGAUGGAGUUUCGCUCUGUCACCCAGGCUGGAGUGUGGUGGCAUGAUCUCGGCUCACUGCAACCUCCACCUCCCAGGGUCAAGUGAUUCUCCUGGGUCAGCCUCCGGAGUAGCUGGGAUUACAGUUUUUCUUCCCAGGGUCUCCCCAAGAGCUGCUUCCUUUGACUCCUGCUGUGUGUAGUUCUGCUGACAAUGACCUGGACAGCUCUGCGCCAUGCACAGCGUCUCUUUUCUCCGACUUACCAAAUUUUAGACACUACUGACUCCUCCAUGUGAAAGAUGGGAAUUCAGCUACAUCACAUUACCCUACAAACUUUAUUGUUAAUAUUUCUUCCCGGUCAGCCCCAAACACUGAAUGUAAAUACGGUCCAACAUCAACCUGCAAACGAACACUGACAUGAAAGUGCAGUUGGAAAGGAUCUCGCAAAGGAACAGAAUCUGGUGAUCCUAAUCGUAAUGAACGUGAUCGCCGGGUAUUGAGAGCUUGCAGGUACCAGGGCUCCGGCACUACGUGUUUCACAGGGGCCACUCGGUAGACCUCUUGGUGACCUUGAGGUCAGGUACCACGUUCCCAUUUUACAGAGGAGGAAACUGAGAUAACCUACGACAGCGAAAAGGUAGCAGAGCUGGGACUGGUGCCCAGGCUCGCCGAGUGGAAAAGCCCUCGGCCACCGUGGAGAGCUCGCUUCCUGUGGUCUGAAGCGUCGCCCCUGCACCGGCUUCUGCUGCCAAGGAUGGCUUUUCCUCACUGGUGCCCACCUACGCUCACUUGUGUCAUGUGGUUAAGCCCUUUUGGCAACAUAAGACCUUUCCCAAGAAUGUGCCUCGGUGCAGAGGAAGACGGUGGGGGCAGGCCCCCUCCCCGGGAUGCUCCACCCUCCCUGACCUCACACGGGUGCAACCUGGGCCGUGGCCGAGACCUGCUGUGUGGCAGACAAUGGGAAGCCUGUGUGUCGUCCUGGGUGCCGGAUUUAGACAAUAUUUAGCUUUCCCUUGGUGGAAAAGCCUUUCCCCUCCUGCUUUGGGCAGGAACUGGUUCCUGUUGGGCGGGGCCUGGCUGCUGCCCCACCCCCACCCGGCCGGGCACCUUGACCGGCAGCUCUCCGGGCUGCUCCCUGCCUGUGUCCCUGAGCACUGACUCCAGAGGUUUAAUCAUUAACGGGCACGUUUGGCCUUCGGUCGUGGGCUGGAAUUUGGGACCUGUGCCCGGGAACAAUGAUCUCCGACACAUUAUUUUGUGUAAAAUCACUUUUAGCUGCCAUUAGCUAAUAAAGCUGGAAUAAAGUGAGGUCC